UUCGCUCGUGUUGGCAGAUAA
Caenorhabditis elegans is the source of this 21-nucleotide non-coding RNA. The record is from Ensembl. NCBI's taxonomy places the organism in Eukaryota, Metazoa, Nematoda, Chromadorea, Rhabditida, Rhabditidae.